GGGCGGGUAGAUCAGCUUGGAAUGAUCGCAGCGUUGGCAUCGCUGAGGCCGCGGGUUCAAAUCCCGCCCCGUCCA
This 75-nucleotide transfer RNA is filed under the name Candidatus Bathyarchaeota archaeon. Its description in RNAcentral is "tRNA-Ala". It matches the Rfam family "tRNA". From Rfam's summary of the family: Transfer RNA (tRNA) molecules are approximately 80 nucleotides in length. Their secondary structure includes four short double-helical elements and three loops (D, anti-codon, and T loops). Lineage: Archaea; Thermoproteati; Candidatus Bathyarchaeota. The record is from RNAcentral. RNAcentral also lists the same sequence under 2 other names.